Phragmites australis (common reed) is the source of this 1666-nucleotide RNA transcript. RefSeq lists it as uncharacterized. NCBI's taxonomy places the organism in Eukaryota, Viridiplantae, Streptophyta, Magnoliopsida, Poales, Poaceae. The transcript is spliced from 4 exons. The record is from RefSeq and is a predicted model, not a curated record.
GGCUUCGCUUCACUGAAGCAUAGCUUAGCCCAGGCACAAGCCCCCGACCCAUCACCCACCUCUCCUUCUACACUGAACAAACCCAAACACCAACCCCUUUCUUCCUCAUCCUGCUUUCCAGUACUGCCUCCGCUCAUCGGAUCCAAGAACCGAUUAAUUCGUUCCAAUCUUGUUUGUGUUUCUUCCAUUUCAGAAAUCAGAAGUGCUCGAGAGUGAGAAGGCCCUGAAGAGAUUGACAGAAGAGAGUGAGCACACGGCGUGGCGGCCGGCAUGGAACGUAUGCCGUCCCCGCCGCGUGCUCGCUCCUCUUUCUGUCAGCCUCUCUGGGCCGAGAGCUUGUUCUGAUCUGGGUUACCACCGGUGAGAUGACAGACGAUACCACCAGUAGUGGAGGGGGGAGAGGUUUUUGCUGUGGCGCCUGAGCGCGGUGGAAACCGUGCCACGCAGAGAUAGAAACGCAUGCUGCGAGAGGACGCUGCCUUUGCAGACUUGCAGGCAGCAAGGACAUGUUACUUCAUUAUCUUCUAGAUAUACGCAAUAGAUUUGCAUAUUUUUUGCUCUCGAUUUGAUCCCUUCAGUCAGGCUGUCGGGGGGCUACUACCGAGGAGGAGGAAGAGAUGAGGCUGCUGAUACUGAUGGAACGGCAUGGAGAGGAGAUAAGAGUACUACUACUAGGAGUAAGUUUGUUGUGGCUUUGCAGUACACUGAAAAAUGAUUGGUUUUGCCAUUUAUUUUGCUUGUCCCCGGGAUUUUUCGUUCCUUCCUGGAUCUGCUAGCUCCCAACUCACUGCCUUGGGAGCUGAAUCAGGAGACGCUGACAGUACACUGCACUACUGUAAGGAUUUAUCAGAACAAUAGCUGCAUCAUCUUUUCUCUCUCUCUCUUGGUGCAGCUCAUCUUCCUCAUGGCUACUGUACCCAUUAUUCCUACAUUUUUUCUGCUCUUUCUUGCUGAGGUUCUUGGUUGGAGUUCUUGGUCCACCUGCGGUCAUGGCCAUAGUGGUGGUUGUGCUGCUGCUCAGCUCCUGUUGGCACAAAAAUGGAUCAUGGAGGUCACCAUGCGAUGAACCACAUUUGGCAACGACGGUGGCCUCACCUUGCUUUUGCCAGAUCUGGCUUGCAUCUUAGACACACAGAGGGAGUGGAGAAAAUGCUGCUGCUCGUUACAGUGUUACUGAUGAGGAGGGAACAUGGGCGUCAUUUAAUGGGCAACACCAUUUGCAGUUUUGCUUAAUUAUGACUAAGGAGUACUCUUCCUAUGUUGUACUACCUGCAGAUUACAAUUGACAAGGUUGUACCUUCUGCAGAUUGCAAGUACGUUCUUGGAUGACAAACGAAAGCAGCUUUUCUGAAGUUGCAAGUUAUCUCUUACAGUAUCCAUGAUGUUGAGACUUUGCUGUGAAUUAAUGAUUAUUUAACUUCACCAAAUCCAGAAGAGAAGCUUGCCGCAGCUUGUUAAUUGAACAGUGUUAUCUAUGUUGCGAAAUGCGCACCCAAGUGUUAAUUUUUUUUCUCUGAAUAAAAUAGGAACAAAUUAGGCAGAGGUUUUUUCACUUUGUUUUGAGUGGUUAAACAUUUCUGUUUUAGAACACGAGUGUUUAAACAGUUUGAGAAAACAAGUGGAAAUUUAUCUUGAUUUCUAUAUGAUAGUGAUUGAUAAGUGCGUU